Molecule: long non-coding RNA, 320 nt
Organism: Drosophila navojoa
Lineage: Eukaryota; Metazoa; Arthropoda; Insecta; Diptera; Drosophilidae
Source: RefSeq, a predicted model, not a curated record
ACAGUCGCCAUAGGCAGUGCAGAUGGUAUGAAUACGGUACCGGAUGUGCUUUCGGGCGGCAUAUGCAAAUAGCAUUCAGUGCACGGCCAUUUGCACAAGCUCAGCAAAAUUGCAAACGGGCCACAAAAUCGGCAGACGAUUGACCCAAAUGCCGAGCCGGAGCUCCCUUAACGCGAAUCGUGUUGGCAAUUUGUAUGCAAACUCUCAUAUGUAAAUUUCAGCUGCACGGCGCAUAAAUUGAAGUCGGCAAGAAAGAAAACUUUGCAAUGUCUUCUCGAUGCAACAAUAAACUCAUUUUUUUAAGUGUAGCAAAUAUAAAA